GUGAACGCUGGCGGUAGGCCUAACACAUGCAAGUCGAACGGCAGCACAGUAAGAGCUUGUUCUUACGGGUGGCGAGUGGCGGACGGGUGAGGAAUACAUCGGAAUCUACUUUUUCGUGGGGGAUAACGUAGGGAAACUUACGCUAAUACCGCAUACGACCUACGGGUGAAAGCAGGGGAUCUUCGGACCUUGCGCGAUUGAAUGAGCCGAUGUCGGAUUAGCUAGUUGGCGGGGUAAAGGCCCACCAAGGCGACGAUCCGUAGCUGGUCUGAGAGGAUGAUCAGCCACACUGGAACUGAGACACGGUCCAGACUCCUACGGGAGGCAGCAGUGGGGAAUAUUGGACAAUGGGCGCAAGCCUGAUCCAGCCAUACCGCGUGGGUGAAGAAGGCCUUCGGGUUGUAAAGCCCUUUUGUUGGGAAAGAAAAGCAGCAGGUUAAUACCCCGCUGUUCUGACGGUACCCAAAGAAUAAGCACCGGCUAACUUCGUG
RNAcentral lists this ribosomal RNA (491 nucleotides) under uncultured bacterium. RNAcentral describes it as "partial 16S ribosomal RNA". It matches the Rfam family "Bacterial small subunit ribosomal RNA", at positions 29 to 507 of the family's 1533-position model. The record is from RNAcentral.